AAACAAAGAAGGAAAGAAACAGAGAGCAAUUCGAAACAGGGGAAAGGAAAGAAGAAAAGAAAAAGAAAAGGAAAAACUAGGGUUUUGAAGCUUAAAGCUUUAAUUGCUAAUAUCACACCCGAGGCAUCCACGAAGAAAGGAAAAGAAAAAGUGGACGAGGAGUAGACACGAGGAUCACGAUUAGGUACAGAAAUUUUUGAAGAGUUGAAUUUGAGAUUGCAAGUUUUCAUCUCAUCACAUCUUCAAGCAACAACAUGGUAUAUUUUAAAGUUUUUGAUUAGAAUGGCAUGUACUUAGGAAAAAUAUUAGGUAUGUUCCAAGUAUUUUUUUUUAUGUUCAAUUAUAUUAGUAAUUAGCCAAGAAUUAAUUUGGUACCAAAUGUAAUAUUCCUAUAUCAGGUUCCUUAAGUCGAACAUGGUAUAGGGGUGUUACACGAAGCGUGACACCCAUGGUAUAAUGAAUAGAAUCUAAGGGAUGUAUCCGCCAAAGUCAAGGAUAAUGAAGUUCGCGGGUAAGACUUAGGUAAAAGAGGGUUUACUCACUAAGUUCUCAUGAAUUUACCUCUAUGCUUUUGUGUCACAUGUAAGUUGAGAUGGGACUAUGCCAGGAGGGACGAUGCUCAGGUUUCGUCAAAGGAUAGGCGAGUUGGGCCGUUAUGCAUAUAGAGCAAAUGUUGGGAUGGCGUGAUCAACAUUUAAAAAUUUAAUGAAACGAGUCGAGGAAUUUGCUUGUAAGUUCCUGUAGCGGUUACAAAAUAGGUUGAUGAACCCAUUGAAGUUAGUAUGCCCACAUAGAAGCAGAAUGAAUAGAACAAUGUAACUAAGUCAUGAUUAUUCUCUUUUAACCCCACAAAAAUUGUAAAGUCCAUUGUAACCAACGUAAU
This is a long non-coding RNA of Gossypium raimondii (Peruvian cotton), 883 nucleotides long. RefSeq lists it as uncharacterized. The transcript has 3 exons. The record is from RefSeq and is a predicted model, not a curated record. Lineage: Eukaryota; Viridiplantae; Streptophyta; Magnoliopsida; Malvales; Malvaceae.